UGCUCACUAUGAGUAACAAGUUAAGAAAAUGCGCUCACUUGGGGAAAGUAGGAAGAAAGCUUGAGGAGAUGAGCGAAGAAGGGCAGAUGAGUGAAGAAGGGUCAGAUAGAAGAUGCAGGCAGGAAGGAAGCUUGUCAGUGGUCGGAGGAGGACCAGGUGAGUGUGUCACUGAGGAGGCCAAGAAAGUUGAAAUUUUCAAGAUGAGAGAGAAUGGUCAAUGGCGGCCAGUGUCACAAAGAAUCCAAGUAAGGGAAGACCAGAAACAUGUCCACAGGAUUUGGCAGGUGAGCCUUGCCACAGCAAUUUCAGCUAAGUAAUGAGAACAGAAGCCUGGCUGAGAGAGAUUAAGAACGGACUUUACUGGAAGAUGAGAAAGAGCACCAUGAAGCAAAGUGAUAACACAAGGAGAAUGCAGCUCUGUCCUGGAAGGAGGGUUGACGACUGACAGAUGAUACAUGUUGAGUCAAUGGAAUGAGGCAGUUGCAGGCUAUUGUUGGAACAAAAGGAGGUCAAGUUUUAUUCUUUUCUCCUGCUGGGACAGAAGGAGUUGGUCACAACUUUUCUUUAAAAAAAAAGGAAAAGAGGAAUGCAUUCCUAAAUCAAGGCUUCCUGGGGCAGCGAGAACAAUUGCAGCACUCCUCAGCUACACUAUCUCUGUUAGUGGACAAACGCUGCUAACUUUUUAAGCUGAACUUGGAAUCUUCUUGGGCUUGAGCUGUCACUCUAAGAAAGUUCUUUAAAAUGCAGAUUAGCCACAGGCAUCUCAUUUUAUUAAUUUCCUCUUGGAAAUAACAAAAUGGCUAUGAAAAGACAAAACUGUGUACAUUCAUAAGGUUUUAUAUGGAGGUCUGUAGAAUGCAAUGAUCACGAAGUAAGUUUCCUAUCUGUAAAAAUGGCCUUGGAGUUCUUACCAGCUUGCUCUUCAAAACAAAAAAUAAAAAUAAAUAAAUUGUAUCAAAUCCAUCUUGGAGCAGAAGGUAAAUUGGAAAAAUACAAAAAGGCUGAGGAUUAAAUAAAUGCACUUCUUUGAAACAGAUGAUGACAUUUUCUAGGCCCAAUUCAGAUGAUGCAGAGCUUCCUUUUGCAAAGCAGCACGCUACGCAACAAAUGGCCUGACGGGCCUUUGGGUUUAAAUCUCAGCUGACAUCUCUCACCAAGUGUGGAAGAAUGAUUGCAUUAAUUCCCCAGUUCCUUGCUCCUUCCUGUAUCCAGGUUCUGACUACCAUCCCAGCCAUGUUACUUUCUUUGACCAAAGGGAUGUUAUCAAACAUGUCACAAGCAAAGAGAUUAGAAACUGUGAGUUUCCAUUUGUGUCUUUGCCCUCAACGACGGCCAUAAAAAUAUGCCAGAGCUAGUCUACUGAAUGAUGAGAGACAACUGGAACAUAGGUGAGAUCACCUGAUCAUCUCAUCCUAAACAAUCCUAAUCUGCUGACAGUCAGCUGACUUCCAGGCAUGUCAGGGAGCCCAGCUCAGACCAGAAGAACUGCCCAGCUGAGCUCAGCCUAAAUCACUAACCUGCAGACUUGUGAGCUGAAUAAACACUUAUUGUUCCAAGCCA
Molecule: long non-coding RNA, 1560 nt
Filed under: Homo sapiens (human)
Lineage: Eukaryota; Metazoa; Chordata; Mammalia; Primates; Hominidae
Description: HSALNT0369782
Source: RNAcentral